GUCUUUGUCCAUCUCUCAUUCUCUCCUUCUCGCUCUUUCCCAUUCGUUCCUUUGCUAAAGUCUUCGGUUCACCAGCAAACAGACUCGUUUUCGCGUAAUCAGCCAACGAUGACCCUUCAACGCAUCCUCCAGUUUACAAGAUCCCAGUCUACGAGAAACUAACUACGCGAAAGUAUAGUCUAAGUAUUUUUCCUACGCUCUCAAUAAGAAUUAAUCAUUUUAAUGAAAUCUUUCGUAGGAUUUGAUCUGAUCAAAAAUAAAAAAAACAAAUUGCUGAAAACACACUUCUUUUUUACAUUCCUAUUCUAUAUCGGAUAGAAUUAUUUUUCUGUAUAUAUCGUAACGAUUAGUUCUUCAAACGCGAGUGACUUAUCUUUCCUAAAAAAAGGAAACCAAAAAUUCAAGUAGACAUCCAAUAAGAGAGGAAAAAGGAUAGAGAGAGAUAUAUAUCGCAGUGACUGCUGGAUUCUUUUUCAUUCGUAAGCCCUGUGAUCGUAAACGUCGGCCAGGAACAACAAACACAUUGGCUAAAGUCCGAGCAUCCUGGUGUAUGUGAACCCUUGUUACGUGCAAUACAAACGAACGAACGAACAAACAAACAAAUACGUACACUUGGAGACACUUAAAGGGAAAAAGAAAAAGAUGAGAUGAGAUGAGAUGAAAAGAGAAAAAAAGAGAAGAGAGAGCACCCUCUGUAUUUAGCGUGGUUGGUUGUAGCGAUGCAACGUUGACGGUCCGGUGGGUUUACAAUGUGCCGGAGAACCCAGGAAGACAACAAAUCCAUCAUCUCCAA
This 793-nucleotide long non-coding RNA is filed under the name Polistes fuscatus (common paper wasp). RNAcentral's name for it is "uncharacterized LOC122524420". Lineage: Eukaryota; Metazoa; Arthropoda; Insecta; Hymenoptera; Vespidae. The record is from RNAcentral.